This 374-nucleotide ribosomal RNA is filed under the name uncultured organism. RNAcentral describes it as "partial 16S ribosomal RNA". It matches the Rfam family "Bacterial small subunit ribosomal RNA", at positions 527 to 896 of the family's 1533-position model. The record is from RNAcentral.
GUAGGUGGCAAGCGUUGUCCGGAAUUAUUGGGGCGUAAAGCGCGCGCAGGCGGUUCUUUAAGUCUGAUGUGAAAGCCCACGGGCUCAACCGUGGAGGGUCAUUGGAAACUGGAGAACUUGAGUACAGAAGAGGAAAGCGGAACUCCACGUGUAGCGGUGAAAUGCGUAGAGAUGUGGAGGAACACCAGUGGCGAUGGCGGCUUUCUGGUCUGUAACUGACGCUGAGGCGCGAAAGCGUGGGGAGCAAACAGGAUUAGAUACCCUGGUAGUCCACGCCGUAAACGAUGAGUGCUAAGUGUUAGGGGGUUUCCGCCCCUUAGUGCUGCAGCUAACGCAUUAAGCACUCCGCCUGGGGAGUACGGCCGCAAAGGCUG